Pelobates cultripes (western spadefoot toad) is the source of this 335-nucleotide non-coding RNA. Lineage: Eukaryota; Metazoa; Chordata; Amphibia; Anura; Pelobatidae. The record is from the annotation of a GenBank genome assembly.
CCGGACAGCAAGGUUCAUAUACGGGCAGGAUAAGCAACAGUCUAAGUACAGGUUAGAAAACAGAUCCAAAGCGCAUUACACAGAAGCAAAUCUACAAGAUAUAGGACAAAGCCAAGGGUCAAAUUGUCAAAGGGUUACUGCAAGCAUCAUAACCACUACAGCCUGCUGUAGUGAUUGUGGUUGCCUGGUAAAGGGGCAAACCUUUUUGAAAUGGUUACCUGGGUCUUCAUCGGGUGGUGACGGUUCUCUGUGGCUGGUGAAAUGUGUCUGGCUUCUGCAGAGAUGCAGGAUUGAGUCACACACCCCUGUUGUGACCAGGACCCCAUCACUUGCCC